AAAGUUACUUUGUCAUCUCUCU
Molecule: microRNA, 22 nt
Filed under: Monodelphis domestica (gray short-tailed opossum)
Lineage: Eukaryota; Metazoa; Chordata; Mammalia; Didelphimorphia; Didelphidae
Description: mdo-miR-12336-5p
Source: miRBase by way of RNAcentral